GAUGAAGAACGUAGCGAAAUGCGAUAAGUAAUGUGAAUUGCAGAAAUCAGUGAAUCAUCGAAUCUUUGAACGCAUCUUGCGCUCCUUGGUAUUCUGAGGAGCAUGCCUGUUUGAGUGUCAUUAAAUUCUCAACUACACUGACUUUGAAUUGGUGUGGCUUGGAUUUGGGGGGAAAAUUGUUGUGGGCUUUUUGUAUAGUCUGCUCCCCUGAAAUUGAUUAGCGGUACCUUUGUGGAACUGUCUACAGGUGUGAUAAUUAUCUACAUCUUAGACAUCUGCUGGAAUGCUGCUUUCUAAACCUUACUUGUAUUGACAAUCUUGACCUCAAAUCAGGUAGGACUACCCGCUGAACUUAAGCAUAUCAAUAAGCGGAGGA
RNAcentral lists this unclassified non-coding RNA (376 nucleotides) under soil metagenome. RNAcentral's name for it is "partial contains 5.8S ribosomal RNA, internal transcribed spacer 2, and large subunit ribosomal RNA". The stretch from base 1 to 120 matches the Rfam family "5.8S ribosomal RNA", at positions 35 to 154 of the family's 154-position model. The record is from RNAcentral.